This 221-nucleotide long non-coding RNA is filed under the name Daucus carota (carrot). RNAcentral describes it as "long non-coding RNA (DCAR_LNC001686)". Lineage: Eukaryota; Viridiplantae; Streptophyta; Magnoliopsida; Apiales; Apiaceae. The record is from RNAcentral.
GUUAGCCGAAAUUGCCACUCUUAUAGCACUAGUCAUUUCGUUUUCUGAUAUUAAUUCCAUCCUUCAUAACAUAAAUCUUUCUUGAUUCCCAGUCAUUUUCAAGCCUAGACGAUCAUGUGAAAACAUGAAAUUACAUGACACGAAAUUCUUGUACACAUCCGAAUCUGAGAAUCUUAUGACGAUAAACGAAACCAAACUUGCGUGCUCUUGUAAGAUUCAUG